GAAUGGCCUCCCAUUGUUGUUGGUUGACAAUUAAGCUAUUAUCUUUUUUACAUCACAUUGUGACCAGGAAUGUAUUUUUAUAAAACAAGACAUUACAGGUUUGAAAACUUGAUAUUUUGAUAUGAUUUUUGGCGUCUGCUGUGUAAAAUUUCAGUGGCAAAAUUUAUAUACCUUCAUUGGCAUUCUAGUUUCAAAUUUCUUUUUUGAAAAAGUGUACAAAGAACUCCUUUUAUAAGUUUGAAUAAAUUCACUGCUGCUAACAACUGAAAUCUUAAGAGCGUCUCAAAUACGGAUGGUAUUGACUUUGUAUAAGCUUGUCAUGUCCAUCGAUCAAUCAGUUACUAUUUUACAUUAUAUUUUUACUUCCGCUAAAUAAUGAUCAGGUAUUUAAUAGUUUAACACACCUGAAAGGAAAAAAAGAUCACUUAAAAAUUGGAUGCCUUCAGAAGUUAUCAAUAAAAUACCUAUUGUUGACUGUGUGCCGUAAUCACAACUUUUAUAGGAAAGUUUAUGUGGUAUAUGCCAAGUCAGAAGAAAGUCAAGUUGACAACUGCAACUGCACUAGGAACGUGGGGAGCUGAGAAGCUUCAGAGAACUAAGAAGAUAUGGAUGAACUAUAACAGUUUCCUAUAGGAAUAUUUCAACAUGAGUGCCAUGUAUACAGUAACAGUCUGGCUAGCAUAUACUGUGUCAUGCUCUGCUGUGUUUGGUUUCUUCU
Molecule: long non-coding RNA, 718 nt
Organism: Mercenaria mercenaria
Lineage: Eukaryota; Metazoa; Mollusca; Bivalvia; Venerida; Veneridae
Exons: 3
Source: RefSeq, a predicted model, not a curated record